CGGGGGAGGCGGGAUCCUGGGCUGUGUCCCGGCGCCCUGUGCUCCGGAGCCUGCGCUGGUGGAUUCGCGCUCCCGGGCCGCCGCCGCGCAGCCCCCU
Molecule: non-coding RNA, 97 nt
Organism: Canis lupus familiaris (dog)
Lineage: Eukaryota; Metazoa; Chordata; Mammalia; Carnivora; Canidae
Source: Rfam